This 492-nucleotide ribosomal RNA is filed under the name uncultured bacterium. RNAcentral describes it as "bacterial SSU rRNA". It matches the Rfam family "Bacterial small subunit ribosomal RNA", at positions 29 to 511 of the family's 1533-position model. The record is from RNAcentral.
AGCGAACGUUAGCGGCGGGCUUAACACAUGCAAGUCGAGCGAGAGAGUGACUUCGGUCAUGAGUAAAGCGGCAGACGGGUGAGGAACACGUAGGUAAUUUUCCGUUUAGUGGGGGACAACGGUCCGAAAGGACCGCUAAUACCGCAUACGUUUCUUGGGACUUUGGUCUUGGGAAGGAAAGCUGGGCAACUGGCGCUAAAAUGAGAAGCCUGCGUCGCAUCAGCUAGUUGGUGGGGUAAUGGCCUACCAAGGCGAAGACGCGUAGCUGGUCUGAGAGGAUGAUCAGCCACACUGGAACUGAGACACGGUCCAGACUCCUACGGGAGGCAGCAGUGGGGAAUAUUGGACAAUGGGCGCAAGCCUGAUCCAGCCACGCCGCGUGAGUGAUGAAGGCCUUCGGGUCGUAAAGCUCUGUGGGGAGAGACGAACCGCUGGGUAACCCGUUCAGCAUGACGGUAUCUCCUUAGCAAGCACCGGCUAACUUCGUGUCCA